RNAcentral lists this ribosomal RNA (253 nucleotides) under uncultured bacterium. Its description in RNAcentral is "partial 16S ribosomal RNA". It matches the Rfam family "Bacterial small subunit ribosomal RNA", at positions 524 to 776 of the family's 1533-position model. The record is from RNAcentral.
UACGUAGGGUGCAGGCGUUAAUCGGAAUUACUGGGCGUAAAGCGUGCGCAGGCGGUUUGCUAGGACAGGUGUGAAAUCCCCGGGCUUAACCUGGGAACUGCGCUUGUAACUGGCAAGCUAGAGUGUGGCAGAGGGGGGUGGAAUUCCACGUGUAGCAGUGAAAUGCGUAGAGAUGUGGAGGAACACCGAUGGCGAAGGCAGCCCCCUGGGCUAACACUGACGCUCAUGCACGAAAGCGUGGGGAGCAAACAGG